UCACUUUUAACGACCACUUCCUAACAACGGGUCAUAAAUCCAGUCGUUAUAAGUGUAUAUAUAACGACAAGAUAUUUUUCCGGUCGUUGAAAUCAAUUUCUAAAUUAGAAACAACGAAAGGAUAAAUUCCAGUCUUUGAAAGUAGUUAUAUCGGUCGUUAAAACUAGAUAAAAGAGCGCCAGAUAUAUUUAUUUUUGCUAUUCUAACAAAUUCUUUUAUCAUUUGGCUAACUUUCUUUUAGUACUUUUUUUUUUGUUUAAUUACAAUCUCCUACUCGUGGAAACCCCCAUUCCUUCUCUUCCAAAAUCAUAAUUUGUCUGAGAGCCCUAAUCUCCAAUACCGCCUGCAUCUUGGUCAUGCGAAAUCGGGUGAUCAGUCGACCUCUCGAUUCUUGUAUGUGAUAUAAUUACAUUAUGAAACUAGACAACACCGAGGGUUUCAAAUUGGUCAUCAACAAAACGCCCAUGUCUCUGACACUACAGGUACUCUUCAAGUUUCUACUCUUUUUGUGGAAGAUUAUGUUAAAAAAUUUCAAAGUGAGGUCUUCAAGUCAUGCCAUAUGGAUUCUGUUAAGAGAAAUCAUUACCGGAAUCUACUGGACAGUAAGUUAUCUGAAUCUUUAAAGUAAUAUGUGGUUGAUUUAUAUUUUCUAAGUUUAAAAAUGUAUUAGACAUUUGGGUUUGUCUUCUAAGGGCUUGUUGUUAACAAUCCGAGCUACGCUAUGCUAGUGUCGAUAUAUCUUAAUCCUCUGUAAUCCUAGCUCAUUUUCUAUUAAGAAAUAUUGUAUCUCAUUUUUUUUCUGUUUCAUUUUUGCCCUUGUAUGAUGAAUACAUGCUUGAUUUACUCCAUGUUUCUAAUGGACCCAUUAUCUAACACAAAAGGUGUGCUUCUUUAUGACUGAAAUGUCACCACAAUUGUCUGAUACGUGCGAGUUUUAAAACUGGUCUAAAUGGCUUAGUCAGACCAUUAUUUGAUGAAAAACUUCUUUAUGUAAAUCUUUAUCUUGAUUCUCUUUGUUGACAUUUAAGAACAUAUUUGGACAACCACUUUAGAGCCUGUGUUAUACUAGAAAUGAAUUUGAUAGUCCAGUAAGUUUGAAGUGUAUUUCUAGAAAACCAAGAAGAAUUAUUUUUGUGCUAAUAAGUUCCUGUAAGGUCUUAGCCCUUAGUUGGUUUGAAAAUGAGCAUAUAAGUAAGUAAUACGAAUAAGAUUGUUUGAAAUAUGUUCCCGCUACGUGAUUUAGCCUGUCUUGUUGUUUGAAAGUUCUUUUGAUGGUAAGUUUGAGUGAUUAAAACUCUUGUUUACUUGGAGUGCAUUAUUGGAUUCGAGCUUGCAUUUAGAAAAUUUGCCUCAGGUUCCCAGACUCAAUGAUAAAAUUUAUACUUUAAUAAAUAUAAUUUAGGAUCCUAAUAUAGAGAUUUUGAUCUCUGACUCAUAAUCCUUCAUUGUGUUUAUGCAUAAAUAUAUGGACUGUUUGUCCUUUUCAGGAAAAGAAUGAGAUUAUUUUUGAGUCUAUACAUCGAUGAAUAAGAGUAUCACUAAAAAAAAGGGUAAUUUGCGGAGGUUGAAAGUUGCAAUUCGCGGGGGUUUUAGCCUCCGCUAAUUGCUUGAGGAGGCUAAAACCCCCACAAAUUGCAACUUUCAACCUCCGCAAAUUACCCCCUUUUUGUAGUGUAUACUGCCAAACAUUGAUUUUUU
This is a long non-coding RNA of Lycium barbarum (goji berry), 1698 nucleotides long. RefSeq lists it as uncharacterized. NCBI's taxonomy places the organism in Eukaryota, Viridiplantae, Streptophyta, Magnoliopsida, Solanales, Solanaceae. The record is from RefSeq and is a predicted model, not a curated record. The transcript is spliced from 2 exons.